AAAAAAAGUAAUUGUGAGUUUUCGUAUCCAACGUUUAAUCGUUCGUCUUAUUAAAAAAACAUGUUAGUAUUAUUGUUGUUAUUACAUAAUAAAAUAUGAAUAGUACUUUAUAUAUGACUAUUUUUUUUUAAUUUUUUUAUAAUGUAGACGAUCAAACGUUAAACACGAAAAUUCACGACUACAUUUAUA
Molecule: non-coding RNA, 189 nt
Organism: Oryza nivara
Lineage: Eukaryota; Viridiplantae; Streptophyta; Magnoliopsida; Poales; Poaceae
Source: Rfam